RNAcentral lists this ribosomal RNA (530 nucleotides) under uncultured bacterium. Its description in RNAcentral is "bacterial SSU rRNA". It matches the Rfam family "Bacterial small subunit ribosomal RNA", at positions 355 to 896 of the family's 1533-position model. The record is from RNAcentral.
UGGGGAAUAUUGCACAAUGGGCGGAAGCCUGAUGCAGCGACGCCGCGUGGGGGAUGAAGGCCUUCGGGUUGUAAACUCCUUUCGACAGGAACGAAGCGUAAGUGACGGUACCUGUAUAAGAAGCACCGGCUAACUACGUGCCAGCAGCCGCGGUAAUACGUAGGGUGCGAGCGUUGUCCGGAAUUACUGGGCGUAAAGAGCUCGUAGGUGGUUUGUCGCGUCGUCUGUGAAAUUCCGGGGCUUAACUCCGGGCGUGCAGGCGAUACGGGCUGACUUGAGUGCUGUAGGGGAGACUGGAAUUCCUGGUGUAGCGGUGAAAUGCGCAGAUAUCAGGAGGAACACCGAUGGCGAAGGCAGGUCUCUGGGCAGUAACUGACGCUGAGGAGCGAAAGCAUGGGUAGCGAACAGGAUUAGAUACCCUGGUAGUCCAUGCCGUAAACGGUGGGCGCUAGGUGUAGGGGGCUUCCACGUCUUCUGUGCCGUAGCUAACGCAUUAAGCGCCCCGCCUGGGGAGUACGGCCGCAAGGCUA